Papaver somniferum (opium poppy) is the source of this 468-nucleotide long non-coding RNA. RefSeq lists it as uncharacterized. The record is from RefSeq and is a predicted model, not a curated record. The transcript has 3 exons. Lineage: Eukaryota; Viridiplantae; Streptophyta; Magnoliopsida; Ranunculales; Papaveraceae.
AUUUCUCUUUCUCAAUGGAUUUCAGUUAUUCAAUUUCAUGAAAUUGUGGAAGUGUAUAUUGCUGAUUUGGGCAAAGACAUAAAUUUGGGGAUCUACAAGAGAUUUUCUUUGAUCCAAGAUUUUAGUUCUUUUUAUUAGGAGCCUUGACCUUGAAACAUUAUCUAUUAAAUAUGUGGCCCUAACAGCGGAGAUAUUUUUUUUUGCAGCUUAAGGCUAGAGGGAAGUAGAUGGAGUUAUGCAAAGGCUUACAGAGAUACAAACUAGCAGGAUAUUGGCUAUACGCUGAUCAAUACAUGUUUCCUUAUGGAACGGUCUUGCCACCACCAUGGGCCAAGAGUUGUUGGAUGUUCUUGACAGCGAUCCGAUUAUGGCAAUCAAAUCUCUAAAGGUUGGAGACCUCCAAGGAGCACCUUUGUCAUCUCUAGAAAAGAGCAUUGUAGUGAUCACAAAUUGAUGCGGAACUUUUAA